This is a small nuclear RNA of Myotis lucifugus (little brown bat), 104 nucleotides long. NCBI's taxonomy places the organism in Eukaryota, Metazoa, Chordata, Mammalia, Chiroptera, Vespertilionidae. The record is from Ensembl.
GUGCUCGCUUUCUCAGCACAUACACUAAAAAAUUGGAAGGAUAGAGAUUAGCAUGGCCCCUGCACAAGAAUGACAUGCAAAUUCGUGAAGCGUUCAAUAUUUUU